UUUUCGGAGAGUUUGAUCCUGGCUCAGGACGAACGCUGGCGGCGUGCCUAAUACAUGCAAGUCGAGCGAACAGAAGGGAGCUUGCUCCCGGAUGUUAGCGGCGGACGGGUGAGUAACACGUGGGUAACCUACCUGUAAGACUGGGAUAACUCCGGGAAACCGGAGCUAAUACCGGAUAGUUCCUUGAACCGCAUGG
Molecule: ribosomal RNA, 196 nt
Filed under: Bacillus pumilus
Lineage: Bacteria; Bacillati; Bacillota; Bacilli; Caryophanales; Bacillaceae
Description: partial 16S ribosomal RNA
Rfam family: Bacterial small subunit ribosomal RNA
Source: RNAcentral